AUGGAUAGAUAGAUAAAUGGACAUCUGGGUGAACAGAGGGCGAGACACACACACUAUAUAUGUACCUAGGAGAUAAUUGGAAAGAUGAAUAGUUAAAUAUUAAGAUAGAAUGUUGUUGUUCAGUUGUUUUUCAGUUGUGUCUGACUAUUCAUGAACCCAUCUGGGGUUUUCUUGGGAAAGAUACUAGAGUACUAGAGUGGUUUGUCAUUUUCUUCUCCAGCUUAUUUGACAGAUAAGGAAACUGAGGUAAAUGGGGUUACAUGACUUGCCCAGAGUUAUACAGCUAGCAAGUGUCCAUGGCUGGAUUUGAACUCAGGUCUUCUUGACCCCUGUCAGGGAGCUCUAGUCACUGGGCCAAUUAGUUGCCAGAUAGAUAGCAUUAAUAUUCUGUGGUGGCAUUGUCAGAAUGAAGAUUAGAUUCCAAAGUAUGAAAAUUAGGAUCACUUGAUCAGAGAUAUAGAGAAGGGACCAUAGCCCAUCUAGUUUAGAAUUUCAGACUGAGAAAACAGAUUAAAGGAAGGUGAUUGUGUGAAGGCUACAUAGGCAAAAUGUUAGAGAUGGAUUUUAAGUCAGGUUCUUUCUCUCUCAAAGCCUGGUGGUUUAGGUUGGUAAAUAAUGACUCGGCAUUGUUGCAGUACACCACAGAUUCAUAGAGGUGGACGGGACCUUCAAUAUCCUCUAGAAUAACCCUUUCAUUUUACAGAUGAGGAAAUUGAGAGUCUAAGGAAGAUGAAAGUGAUUGAAAGAGCCAGAACUGGAACAGAGGUCUUCUCCACUCCCCCAUGGUUUCCAUGAAGUUGGGAGUGGAGGGGCAGAGUGCUUUAGUUGACAAUGGUUUGAAUGAACCUAUCGCUCCAUCUUAUUUAGGAUGGCUAAUGCUGACCAAGAUGGCAGGGGGAAUUGCCUAGAUAGCCGAAGUUUUUGGUGAAUUAAGAGAUCUCUCAGAUCUUGUUAUGAAUCUCUGGUCAUCACCCUGAUUUUACCUAUGAACUCUUCUAGAUAAUCAACUAGUCAACUCAAGUCCUGUUAUCUAGAAAUUAUUCUGUAUGUCCAAAUUGAAUCUGUGAAAGAAUUUUGCUAGUGUUUUGCCUUUUCUGCCCCAGAACAGGAAAUAAUCUGUAUCACAAAGCCUACACAACCAUGGUCCUUUCCCAACUCCAGGACAGAGACUGGUAUACAGAAAGUCAAAGCUGGUGACAGUUCUCCUGAUUUUAAGUGCCAUAGAAGAAAUUCAACUGAAAAAGAAAUUUUCCUAUUCUGAUGCUAGAAUGUACCUCAGCGAUGAUCUACUGGGUUUUUAAACUUUUUAUAUCAUGGACCUUUUUUGAAGUCUGCUGAAACCUAAGAACUGCUCUUUAGAAUAUUGUAUUUAACACAAAAUAAAGUAUAUAAGAUUUGAAGGAAACCAGCUAAAUUGAAAUACAGUUAAUCAAGACAUAAAGGGGAGAAAUAAAGUCCCUGGACCCAAGGUUAAAAAUUGCUACUCUAAAAGAUUUAAUGUGAAAUCAUUUAUUAUUAGAAAUGUUAUUUGUUAUUAUUAGAAUUUUUAUUAUGUAUUACUAUUUUGUUAUUAAUUAUUAUUAUUAAAUAUUUAUUAGAAAUGUUCAUUACAUGCAACAAUUGUUAACUUUGGACAGUGUCCUGUCAUUUUAGUCUAGCAUUUUCCCACUUCUCUGUUAUUCUCUAGCAUUCUGUGCCACCAGAACUCUCAGUUCCAUAUUUACAAGGUUUGCCAGUAUAUUCCCAUCUCCAAAGUGCUUCAUGACCAACUGUAUUUGGCAAGGGCAAAUCUAAUUCAAUACCCUUUUUUUUUUUUUUGCAGAUGAGGCAAUGGAGGCACACCUUGUAUAACAGCAGGAUGAGUGAUAGAAGGUGGUUCUCCUGAUGCCCAGGCUGCUUUUCUUUUUUCUUUUUACUCCAUCCUGCAGUUUCAUAACCAUUGAACAAAAUCUUUGACCCAAUCUUAGAACAUGAAAGGAAGAAGAGAGUCCUUCUAGGAAGCAAUGAUACUGUGGCAGAAGCUUUGGGUGAAGGGUCAAAACAAACCAGGUUCUAGUCCCACUUCUGCCUGCCACAUUCACACAGGCAUGCUAUAUCACCUUGGGAAAUGACCUAUCACUUACAACAACAACAACAACCGGGUAAAAUGCAGUCAACUUUUAGAGAGGGAGAACCUUGUGGAAUCCUCUUUUCUUGCUUAGCUAGCUAACAAAAAUAAUCCUGUUAUCUCAUUCUUAUCAGCUCUAUGGCAUGUCAUUAUGUCAUCUGUCAUCCUCAAAUGAAAGAAAAGGAGUCAGGGCAUAUAUCUUUUCAAUUUUCAGCCAGGUGAUUUAUUUCACUGAAGCUUUGGACACUAGGCACUGACUGGCUUCCUCAUUUCCUUUAUUUUAAACCUUGCUUCCCCCCCCCCCCCCCACGCUAUACAUUACUUCCCUUGCAGUUUUGAAAAGCAGAGGACGAGUGUGAGAAUAUAUGUAUGACAGAGGGAGAGAGAAGGAGAAAAAAGAAAAUAUUGAGGUGGAAAUUUGCACCUGGAUCAUUUAACUUUAUCAUGAUGUACUUUUAAGAAAAAAAAUACAUGUAGAAAGUCAGAAUAUGCCUGUUGCAUUUUCAUAUA
Long non-coding RNA from Monodelphis domestica (gray short-tailed opossum), 2617 nucleotides. RefSeq lists it as uncharacterized. The record is from RefSeq and is a predicted model, not a curated record. Lineage: Eukaryota; Metazoa; Chordata; Mammalia; Didelphimorphia; Didelphidae.